RNAcentral lists this long non-coding RNA (2228 nucleotides) under Anolis carolinensis (green anole). Its description in RNAcentral is "lncRNA (ENSACAG00000043314.1)". The record is from RNAcentral. Lineage: Eukaryota; Metazoa; Chordata; Lepidosauria; Squamata; Anolidae.
UUGCAUCAAAAAAGCAAACUAAUGUAUAGCAUUAAACAAAUGCAACUCCCUCAGCCACAUCACAAUAAGAAGAAGAAGAAGAAGAAGAAGAAGAAGAAGAAGAAGAAGAAGAAGAAGAAGAGGAGGAGGAGGAGGAGGAGGAGGAGGAGGAGGAGGAAGAAGAACUACUGCUGGUAUUAUAAAUUGGACACAGGCGGAACUGGACAAUUUGUAAUGCUAGCAGUAUAUCUUAUGACAGGUAUGGCCCAGGUGUUUAUGGCCUUGAUGGUGUUGCCUCCAUUGAGCUUGCUUUUGAGAAUUUUUCUGACCCUUUGUGUGUAUUCUUUCCUUAUCACAGUUUUCACAUGUUCAUGCUUGAUGUUGUGCAGCUGUAAUAUGCCCAGAUAUUUAUAGGUCUCUGGCUGGUGACACUUUAUUGUUUGGCCAUUAGGCAUAUUUACGCCCUCAAUUUCAAUGAUUUUUCCCUUCUUCAAUGCCACUGUCGAACAUUUGUCCAAACCAAACUCCAUCCUGACAUCAGUGCUAAAAAUUCAGGCAGUGUUAGAGACUGGAUUUCAGUUUCUGUUUUCCCAUACAGCUUCAGGUCAUCCACGUACAUCAGAUGCGAAAUUUUGUGAUGAUCCAGCUGUGUGGGAGUGAGUCAAAGGACUUUUUGUAGUCAAUCCACGUCAUGUGAAGAUUAGCUUUUCGGCUUUUACAGUUCUCCAGAAUCAUUUUGUGAAUUAAUAACUGGUCUUUUGUGCCUCUUCAGCUUAACUUAGUUCUUCAGCUUAACUUAGUUGUAUGUUUCAGAAUUACUUCACUUAGUUUCAAACAGUUCCAACCAACCAAUCUAUCUAUUGGUCACAAAAACCCUUGCUCUAUAGACACGCGUUCCCCUGGGUUGUUAAUUAACUCUAACCUAGAGUCCUUCUAUUAACCAGCCCAGUAGUGAGAGUCAACCCCUUGAGUUAUCUUCCGCCAAGAGAUCCACACUGCCUGACCUAGCCUGUCAGUUUCCACAGCUUUUUUUUCUCUCACACACACACACUCCAAAACCGAACUGCUCUCUUCAAACCCUAAAACAGAACUCUCUGGAGCUCUUUUUUUUCUCUGCACUCUAAGACUUGGCUCCUCCCAUCCGCUCUGGUUGGCCAAUCCUAGGAGUCUCUCUCUAAGCUCCUCCCCCUUUCUAACCACACUCAAGAUGGCUGCCUGGCAUUCCUCAACAAAAUGGAGGCUUGCCUCACUCACUGUUACCAAGGCUCCAUUCUAGGCCUAAUAGGUAAGGUUCACUACAGUAACCCACUGGAUGGCCAUGGGUGAAUAGCACACACCUAGUCUCUGAGAAAGUUAAUGGCAACCCCUUCUGAACAAAUCUUGCCAAGAAAACUCUAUGAUAGGUUUGCUUUUGGUUGGCCAUAGGUUGGAAAUGAUUUGAAGGCAUCCAACAGCAAGAACAAAGUGAAAAUGAACAUGUCCAUUUAAAAGACAACAGCGAUUGUAUAUGUUCAUGUAUACAUUGACCUCAUGUAUAAGUCAAAGGCAGGUUUCGGGGUCAAAAUUGCAAAUGUUGAUAUGACUCAUACAUAAGUUGAGGGUCAUUCCAUAAAUAGCAGAAAGUGUGUCACCUCAGCUGCUCAUGGCUGCCUUUGCCAUUUCCCCACCCAAACAUUUAAUGAGGCCAGAAGCGGUGUCAUUGGUGGACAAAGCAGAGGGAAUCAAUGUGCCUUUUAUGUCCCCCUGGAAUGAACUAAGCUUUAACCUUUCAUCACCCUACUCAGCAAAAGAAAUAAUCCCUUUUUGAUAAGAUAAGAACUGAGAUAUGGUACUCACAUUGACCCAUGGAUAAAUCAACCCAGUUGGGGGUGGUCAGUUUUUGGACUACAAUAUCUGGAGUUACACAUGGGUUUAUGAGGUAAUUUAAUAGCGAAAGACUAUAAGCUGUUCUUAUCUUCUCAGUGGGUUAAACUCUUGUGCCGGCAGGACUGAUGACUUGAAAGUUGGGUUGCUGACCUGAAGGUUGCUGGUCCGAAUCCAACCCGGAGAGAGCGCAGAUAAACUCCCUCUAUCAGUUCCAGCUCCAUGCGGGGACAUGAGAGAAGCCUCCCACAAGGAUGGUAAAAACAUCAAAACAUCUGGGCAUCCCCUGGGCAAUAUCCUUGCAGAUAGCCAAUUCUCUCACACCAGAAACGACUUGCAGUUUCUCAAGUUCCUCCUGACCCCCCCCCCCCCAAAGAAAAGAACCU